Molecule: non-coding RNA, 125 nt
Organism: Triticum aestivum (bread wheat)
Lineage: Eukaryota; Viridiplantae; Streptophyta; Magnoliopsida; Poales; Poaceae
Source: Rfam
AUAAUACUCCCUCCGUCCGGAAAUACUUGUCGGAGGAAUGGAUGUAUCUAGACGUAUUUUAGUUCUAGAUACAUCCAUUUUUAUGCAUUUCUCCAACAAGUAUUUCCGGACGGAGGGAGUAUUUC